ACUUGAAUAGCUUAUAAUGUAGAGCAUGACACUGAAGAUGUUAAGGAAGUUGAAGGACUUUUAAGUA
RNAcentral lists this transfer RNA (67 nucleotides) under Zichya tenggerensis. Its description in RNAcentral is "tRNA-Phe". The record is from RNAcentral. Lineage: Eukaryota; Metazoa; Arthropoda; Insecta; Orthoptera; Tettigoniidae.